Molecule: long non-coding RNA, 1327 nt
Organism: Pezoporus occidentalis (night parrot)
Lineage: Eukaryota; Metazoa; Chordata; Aves; Psittaciformes; Psittacidae
Exons: 5
Source: RefSeq, a predicted model, not a curated record
AGGCAGAGACAUCAACUCCGCAGGUGGCAAAGCACUUGAUGAGACAUGAAAGGAUGAAGGGAGCCAGUACAGCCACAUCACUGCAGGCUGGAUUUGAGUACAUAACCAGAAGCCUGGUGGAAUGCCACUUUGAGAGGGAGGAGAAAGAGCAACAAAAUGACAUAUUUGCAGCAGUAUGUGACAGAAGAUACAUCAAGAUGAAUGCCUGCCUUUUUGUGUUUGCCAACACUAAGAAAGGGAUAAAUCCUUUGAAAGCCCCACUAGGAUUCUCUCCUCAGGCAGACGAUGCCUUCUCUUGGCUGACUGAAGAACUCGGGACACGGAAGGUUUUGCCACAAUAAUAUCUGGUUUCUGGGUGCAGCCUUGAGGAAAUCAUUCUAUUUCUUUCAUAUGGCAAAAGCUCCAGUGUGGAUACAACUUUGUGCCAGUGUCCAGGCACGUGUAAAACAGACCCAGGUAACACAUGGCAAACUUGCCACGAGAGAGAAGAAAGGAAAUGCAGCAUUUUAGUUACAACAAGGACUUGACAGAUGCUGUAUCUGUGGCGCUUGGUAGCUGUUUCAAGAUCAGUGUGGCUUCCUGAGAAACAAGUUUGAGAUCAUGCAGUGGUCCUAUUACCCUCCUGAACUGAUGGCCAAGUACCUACCAGCUUCUGUGUGAAUCACAGCUUUCCCUCCAGCUACCUCCUGCUAAGUUAUCAACCUUUUCCUGUUGAAUGUCUUCAGCAUGGCUCCAGGCUGACCCAGAAUAGCAGGUCACAGUGACAGAUGGACCUUUAGCUAGUGGGAGCUAGAGCCACAGCUGGGGAAAAUGCUGAUGCUAACACACCUAUCAAAAUGUAUUAUUCCCCUUUAGUAGAGAGGCAGUGCACUGUGUAGCAUGAACCUCCAUGUAUUGUAUAUAUGUUUAUUUCUAUCCAUUUACUUACCUGCACUGAAGAGACCUGUUCCAUCCAGACUUUAAGGAAGUUCACUUAAUGAGAUGAAAAAGGUAUGCAAAGAGUAAUGUUCAUACACUGCCAUGUAGUCCUUGACGUGUCUUCUGCAUCUCCAAUACCCCUGGUGCUGAAGGCUGUGUGGAUCUCUGAACGUUUACCCUACCCUGAAUCUGAAUGGGAUCAUGCACCUGAAUCAUAGGAUUUGUGAAUAUCUCAGCCUUAACCCUAACCCAAACCCUAAUGUAAGUGACAUCAUGGAGAUGAGGCCUAUGUCAUGAGCACCAUGUCUGGCCCACAGAAGAAAGGUAUGGAAUGAGUAAUGUUGGUGCUAUCCUGUGCACACCUUCGCAUGCCUUUUGCAGCCCCAGUGUCCCUGGAGCUGUAGGCUUU